CCCCCCACUGCUAAAUUUGACUGGCUA
This 27-nucleotide non-coding RNA is filed under the name Drosophila melanogaster (fruit fly). RNAcentral also lists the same sequence under 6 other names. Lineage: Eukaryota; Metazoa; Arthropoda; Insecta; Diptera; Drosophilidae. The record is from RNAcentral.